Molecule: ribosomal RNA, 256 nt
Filed under: uncultured bacterium
Lineage: Bacteria
Description: partial 16S ribosomal RNA
Rfam family: Bacterial small subunit ribosomal RNA
Source: RNAcentral
CGGACGGGUGAGUAACGCGUGGAUAACCUGCCGUAUGCGAGGGGGAUACCAACUGGAAACAGUUGCUAAUACCGCAUAAGCGCACAGUGUCGCAUGACACGGUGUGAAAAGAUUUAUCGGCAUACGAUGGAUCCGCGUCCGAUUAGCCAGUUGGCGGGGUAACGGCCCACCAAAGCGACGAUCGGUAGCCGGCCUGAGAGGGCGGACGGCCACAUUGGGACUGAGACACGGCCCAAACUCCUACGGAAGGCAGCAG